Molecule: ribosomal RNA, 492 nt
Filed under: uncultured bacterium
Lineage: Bacteria
Description: partial 16S ribosomal RNA
Rfam family: Bacterial small subunit ribosomal RNA
Source: RNAcentral
AGUGAACGCUGGCGGUAGGCCUAACACAUGCAAGUCGAACGGCAGCACAGUAAGAGCUUGCUCUUACGGGUGGCGAGUGGCGGACGGGUGAGGAAUACAUCGGAAUCUACUUUUUCGUGGGGGAUAACGUAGGGAAACUUACGCUACUACCGCAUACGACCUACGGGUGAAAGCAGGGGAUCUUCGGACCUUGCGCGACUGAAUGAGCCGAUGUCGGAUUAGCUAGUUGGCGGGGUAAAGGCCCACCAAGGCGACGAUCCGUAGCUGGUCUGAGAGGAUGAUCAGCCACACUGGAACUGAGACACGGUCCAGACUCCUACGGGAGGCAGCAGUGGGGAAUAUUAGACAAUGGGCGCAAGCCUGAUCCAGCCAUACCGCGUGGGUGAAGAAGGCCUUCGGGUUGUAAAGCCCUUUUGUUGGGAAAGAAAAGCAGCAGGUUAAUACCCCGAUGUUCUGACGGUACCCAAAGAAUAAGCACCGGCUAACUUCGUG